RNAcentral lists this long non-coding RNA (1170 nucleotides) under Equus asinus (donkey). Its description in RNAcentral is "lncRNA (ENSEASG00005024852.1)". Lineage: Eukaryota; Metazoa; Chordata; Mammalia; Perissodactyla; Equidae. The record is from RNAcentral.
CCUCAGGAGUGUGCACAAGAGGACGUCGUCCGGCAGGGGCAGAGCCGGCCCGCUCCGGACACCCCGGCUUAGCAGGGGUCUGGAAGCCCAGCAGCGCAGCAGAACUCCGGAGCGCCUCCCAGGAGCUCUGCGCGUGCCAAGUGUUCUGCAGGAACUCAUUUACCCUCGCGACAAACCUGCAGUGGGCCCUGAAUGCUAGACCGUGAGGCACCCAAGCCCAGGUACCGUCUUACUCGUCUCUGGACCCCUCUGAGGACCUGGCACAUGGCAGGUACUCAAUAAAUGUUGAUGCAUGAACGAAAGACAGCAGCGGUUUAUCGACAGCGUCUCCCGCAUCUGAAGUUGGCUGCCUGCAUCCCUGAGGUGCCCCUUAACCUGUUCUUCUGUCCCCUGUCGCUCCUGUAACUUGUUCAAAUGCAGGGGCUCCAUCAGAUGCAGGUUUGAGUUUGGGGCAAGACCACUUCCCGGUGGUACAUGUUCCUCCCUGCUGAGGCUCACACUGUCUGUCUGGCUCCUUGAGAUGUAAGCAGCUGUGGCUGCCUCAUCCAUUCAUUAGAGGUUGCACAAUGAUGAGUCUCUAAUUUUACCCUUCCUUCUACAUUUUCAAGCAGGUGUAAGUCUAUAAAUAGAAAUUUACCCUCAUCAGCCAUUUGAUUACCCCGGGGCACCACUGCAGUAGGAAAGCUUGAGUUAAUUACGAUUCUUUACCUUUCUUUAGGAGCUUAAAUCCUUUUUGGUAUAAUAAAUAGGUGUUUGCAGGGUGGGUAGGCACCUUAGUCUGAGCCUCUGCCGCCCGCCUGUAAGACAGGGAUGCUGCUGAGCCCACAGCCUUACUCCGGCCUGGGGGCAGAGCUCGGGUCUCUCGUCAAAGGCUGGGCACGCCUGCAGCCCAGCCUCGGUCCCAGACCCAGCGCUGGAAGCAGGCAGAAGCCAGCAGGGCCUUCCCUGAGCGAUGCCCACGCCCGGGAUGCGAGGGCCUCCUCCAAGGGCCGCCAUGGGGACUAGACGAGAUGACGCGGCCCCGGCCGACGCGGGUGGACCCAUGGAGGGGUCCUCUCCCUGCUCUCCCGUUCUGCCUCUCAGCAUCCCCCAGGGUACCCGUGCACAAACGCACAUACACUCCCCGGGCACGGUCCCUCCGGGCGGCCCUAUUGUUGAGCGGCCGGGCGG